Molecule: ribosomal RNA, 218 nt
Filed under: Paenibacillus sp. MMS18-CY102
Lineage: Bacteria; Bacillati; Bacillota; Bacilli; Caryophanales; Paenibacillaceae
Description: partial 16S ribosomal RNA
Rfam family: Bacterial small subunit ribosomal RNA
Source: RNAcentral
UUUAUGGAGAGUUUGAUCCUGGCUCAGGACGAACGCUGGCGGCGUGCCUAAUACAUGCAAGUCGAGCGGAGUUGAUGGAGUGCUUGCACUCCUGAUGCUUAGCGGCGGACGGGUGAGUAACACGUAGGCAACCUGCCCGUAAGACUGGGAUAACAUUCGGAAACGAAUGCUAAUACCGGAUACGCGAUUUUCUCGCAUGAGGGAAUCGGGAAAGAAGG